AUAGAAAUUCAGAGUCCAAGCUAAGACCGUAAUAUAGUGUUCGAGUACGAGGACUUAAGUUAAUUGGUCUAUGAUAGUUUUAAGAUAAAUUCAUAGGAAAGUGUUAUUCAUGUGAUAGGUAACAAGAAAUGGGUUGAUGACUAUUUUAGUCUUUGGAAAAAAGAAUACCCCGUAGAUGAGCCCUAGGAAUGAGGUAGGAGCAAAAUGAUCUGCCGAAAAAGGACGAGGGAACUUAUUCUCAAGUAAAUCUCGUGUAUAUAAAUUGGAAUUAGGAAUCCAAUUGAUAUGAGGAGAGACCCGAAUCUAUUCUAGAUCGGAAAGUUAAAGUACUAAGGAAUAAGUCGAUACCCUUAGUAAUAGUUCUUUGGAAGCACUAUGAUCAAGAAAAGGCGAUGUGGGAACUCGAUUCUAGCAUGAAUGAGAAGUACCCAGAAUUAUUUUCUGUGGUACAAAUUUCGUGACGAAAUUUCUUUUAAAGUGGAUAGUAUGUCAUACCCCGACUUUUAAUCCCUGAUUAAGGGCUUAAUUAUUAAUAAUUAGGAUUCGGCAUCCAUUUAUAAUAAAAAAACUGGUUUGAUUUAUCUGAUGUGAUUUAAUCAUUAUAUAUGUGUUUUAAUGUGCUUAGUUAAAGGAAAAUUUUUAUAAAUGUGGUGCAUAAGUUUUAAUUGGUGAGUUAAGUGUAUUUAUAUGAGCCACAUGAAUUUUAAAUUAUGCAUGAAGUCAUGAAUUUUAUCUAAAUUUGAUAGUACAUGUAACACCCCGUACUUUUCCCUAUGUUGUGAGAUAAUGUCUUAACACUAUUGAGAAUACUGAGAUGUCAGAGAGAUUGACUGUCCUAUUAAGAAAAUAGGAAUAAUGAGUUGGAAAUAGAGUCGAGAAAGAAAGAGUGAAAAACCUUGAUAAAAAAAAAAAAAAAAAAAAAAUCGGUCGGAUAGACGUCUAGUUUGUCUGUGUUUGCCGACUGCUUUGACGUGAUAUUAUGUGAAAUUACGUGACUGAUUGAUUAUGUGAGUUUUGUUACGUAUGUCAUUGUGAGCAAGUUAUUAUGAUUUUUAUUUGAUAACCUUAGCACUUGGAAUUUUAAUUAAGUUUUCAAAGCAAGUGCAAUUUAUUUUUACCGAGAAAUCAAAGAAUGUCGGGUUAUGAAAAUUUUUCCAAACAAAAUAUUUUCAAAUUAUUUUCCUAUGAUGAGGAAUAUUAUAAUUGAGUAAGUGCACUAAUAUUAGUGCCAUAUUUAUUUUAAAUAUUGGUCACAAUAGUUUUGUGUUAUAGCAUUGCAUUAAUUAGUAAUUAGUCUUUUAUGAUUUUAUUAAUGUAGCUUAACACAUGAUUUAUUCUAGACUACACAACCUUACACACACAUGAUUAUUUUAAUCUAAUAAGCAUGUGAUUAAUUUCCUUAGCCUUACUUGAAGUGGACGUGUGGUAUGAAGAUGAAGGGAAGGGAUUACUGUAUAGGGGGGGACAAGUAUUAAAUGGUGAAUAGUGUUUGGUCUCCAAUCAUCCUUCCUAAGCAAGACAAAUUCACUUCAUUUCCCUCAUUUUCUUCACCAUUCGACCACUCUCAAUUUCUCUCCCUCUCUUCCGAUUUUGCUCCAAAAGAUCACCAUAGAUGAAUCACCAAAGCUUCCAAGUUCACAUCAAGAUCAAUUCCUCCACCAAAUCAACAUAAACACCUUUCAAUUCUUGAAGAUUUCAAGAGGACCGUGGGGUUUGGUUUGAAGAGUGAGAAAGGAAAACUUUGAUCUUUGUUUAAUCUUGGGUUGAGCAGUUGAUGGAAUGGAAUGAUGUUGAGCGGGUGUUCCUUUGACAUUUCAAUAAAUGUAACCUUGAGUAUACAUCUUCAUAUGUAUAUCUCACACGUUUUCCGCUGCAAAACACUUUGAUUAGGAUAGCUCUAUGAUAUGAAGUUGUGAUACGUGUUAUUGGGUAACCACCUUAAUCAGUUCUCAAUUAUGUGUAUCCAAAUAAUCAUAUAUGAUCCUAGCAUUUUAUCUAUGAGUGACAUUUCCAUAUACUUUAAUGUUAAGUAAUUGUCCAUUUCCA
Molecule: long non-coding RNA, 2046 nt
Organism: Salvia miltiorrhiza (redroot sage)
Lineage: Eukaryota; Viridiplantae; Streptophyta; Magnoliopsida; Lamiales; Lamiaceae
Exons: 2
Source: RefSeq, a predicted model, not a curated record